GAUGAAGAACGCAGCGAAAUGCGAUAAGUAAUGUGAAUUGCAGAAUUCAGUGAAUCAUCGAAUCUUUGAACGCACAUUGCGCCCGCCAGUAUUCUGGCGGGCAUGCCUGUUCGAGCGUCAUUUCAACCAUCAAGCCCCCGGCUUGUGUUGGGGACCUGCGGCUGCCGCAGGCCCUGAAAACCAGUGGCGGGCUCGCUAGUCACUCCGAGCGUAGUAAUACAUCUCGCUCAGGGCGUGCUGCGGGUUCCGGCCGUUAAAAAGCCUUAUUUACCCAAGGUUGACCUCGGAUCAGGUAGGAAGACCCGCUGAACUUAAGCAUAUCAAUAACGGAGGAA
This 335-nucleotide unclassified non-coding RNA is filed under the name soil metagenome. RNAcentral describes it as "partial contains 5.8S ribosomal RNA, internal transcribed spacer 2, and large subunit ribosomal RNA". The stretch from base 1 to 120 matches the Rfam family "5.8S ribosomal RNA", at positions 35 to 154 of the family's 154-position model. The record is from RNAcentral.